RNAcentral lists this ribosomal RNA (476 nucleotides) under uncultured organism. Its description in RNAcentral is "partial 16S ribosomal RNA". It matches the Rfam family "Bacterial small subunit ribosomal RNA", at positions 331 to 798 of the family's 1533-position model. The record is from RNAcentral.
GUACACUCCUACGGGAGGCAGCAGUGGGGAAUUUUGGACAAUGGGCGAAAGCCUGAUCCAGCAAUGCCGCGUGCAGGAUGAAGGCCUUCGGGUUGUAAACUGCUUUUGUACGGAACGAAAAAGCUCCUUCUAAUACAGGGGGCCCAUGACGGUACCGUAAGAAUAAGCACCGGCUAACUACGUGCCAGCAGCCGCGGUAAUACGUAGGGUGCGAGCGUUAAUCGGAAUUACUGGGCGUAAAGCGUGCGCAGGCGGUUAUGUAAGACAGAUGUGAAAUCCCCGGGCUCAACCUGGGAACUGCAUUUGUGACUGCAUGGCUAGAGUACGGUAGAGGGGGAUGGAAUUCCGCGUGUAGCAGUGAAAUGCGUAGAUAUGCGGAGGAACACCGAUGGCGAAGGCAAUCCCCUGGACCUGUACUGACGCUCAUGCACGAAAGCGUGGGGAGCAAACAGGAUUAGAUACCCCUGUAGUCCCAU